GACGAACGCUGGCGGCGUGCUUAACACAUGCAAGUCGAACGGCAGGGCCCUGAUUGUGUGGUGUUCUCGAGUGGCGAACGGGUGCGUGACACGUGAGUAACCUGCCCUUGACUUUGGUAUAACUUCAGGAAACUGGGGCUAAUCCCGGAUAGCAGCUCCUGCUCGAUUGAGGGGGUUGGAUAGUUUCGGCGGUUGGGGUUGGACUCGCGGGUUAUCAGCUUGCUGGUGGGGUAGUCGCUUACCAAGGCUGUGGCGGGUCGCCGGCCUGAGAGGGUGGACGGCGACAAUGGGACUGAGAUACGGCCCAGACUCCUACGGGAGGCAGAAGUGGGGAAUAUUGCCCAAUGGGCGGAAGCCUGAUGCAGCAACGCCGCGUGCGGGAUGACGGCCUGCGGGUUGUAAACCGCUUUCGCCUGUGACGAAGCGGGAGUGACGGUAAUGGGUAAAGAAGCACCGGCUAACUACGUG
This 468-nucleotide ribosomal RNA is filed under the name uncultured bacterium. RNAcentral's name for it is "partial 16S ribosomal RNA". It matches the Rfam family "Bacterial small subunit ribosomal RNA", at positions 28 to 507 of the family's 1533-position model. The record is from RNAcentral.